RNAcentral lists this ribosomal RNA (567 nucleotides) under uncultured bacterium. RNAcentral describes it as "bacterial SSU rRNA". It matches the Rfam family "Bacterial small subunit ribosomal RNA", at positions 71 to 549 of the family's 1533-position model. The record is from RNAcentral.
AUGGACAAUUAUGGAGUCUGCGGAGCGGACGGAUUUAAAAUCUAUCGCCAAAGGCGGUACUUUAAUUGUCAAUUAUCAAUUAUCAAUUGUAAAUUGUGAAGCAAAACACAGAGUGUUUUGCUUCACCUAGUGGCGGACGGGUGAGUAACACGUGAGCAACCUGCCGAGGAGUGGGGGAUAACGUUUGGAAACGAACGCUAAUACCGCAUAAUAUCACGGGGAGACAUCUCCCUGUGAUCAAAGGAGAAAUCCGCUUUUUGAUGGGCUCGCGCCCGAUUAGAUAGUUGGUGAGGUAAUGGCUCACCAAGUCUGCGAUCGGUAGCCGGACUGAGAGGUUGAUCGGCCACAUUGGGACUGAGACACGGCCCAGACUCCUACGGGAGGCAGCAGUGGGGAAUAUUGCACAAUGGGGGAAACCCUGAUGCAGCGACGCCGCGUGAGUGAAGACGGUCUUCGGAUUGUAAAGCUCUGCCGAGGGGGACGAUAAUGACGGUACCCCUCAAGAAAGCCACGGCUAACUACGUGCCAGCAGCCGCGGUAAUACGUAGGUGGCGAGCGUUGUCCGGA